CCAUGAUGACUAGUUCAAGGGAGCAACAGAAACAUAGGUUCUUCUAUGCCAGCAGGUGGGGUAGGGGCAAAAGUGUCAAGAGAAGUUUGUGUUUUAUUACUCUCUCUCCAGCUAGGUUAAAUACUUCUUGAAAACAAAUUCUUGAUCUUAUUUGAUCUUGUAUCUGUGUUUGGAAUAUAGCUGGGUAACUCAAAGUUUGGGUUGCUAUUCAUGAGUGGUUGUGAAGUAAAAUUAGUGGGAACUGACCAGUAUGUUAUUUUAAGU
Molecule: long non-coding RNA, 264 nt
Filed under: Bos taurus (domestic cattle)
Lineage: Eukaryota; Metazoa; Chordata; Mammalia; Artiodactyla; Bovidae
Description: long non-coding RNA NONBTAT017365
Source: RNAcentral